This is a small nucleolar RNA of Vicia villosa (hairy vetch), 141 nucleotides long. RefSeq annotates it as small nucleolar RNA snoR135. The record is from RefSeq and is a predicted model, not a curated record. The transcript has a single exon. Lineage: Eukaryota; Viridiplantae; Streptophyta; Magnoliopsida; Fabales; Fabaceae.
UGAGCGGUGAUAGUGUAUAUCGGUGUUAUUGUAUUUAUUACAUUCCUUCGAAAGUAUUCUCUACUAAAUUAAAUUGAUAUAAUGGACAAGUGUGUUUCAUUUUUUAUGUUGAAUAUUACAACAAUCAGUUUUCCUAUAUUU